Molecule: ribosomal RNA, 252 nt
Filed under: uncultured bacterium
Lineage: Bacteria
Description: partial 16S ribosomal RNA
Rfam family: Bacterial small subunit ribosomal RNA
Source: RNAcentral
UACGUAGGGGGCUAGCGUUAUCCGGAAUUACUGGGCGUAAAGGAUGUGUAGGUGGUUUCUUAAGUCAGAGGUGAAAGGCUACGGCUCAACCGUAGUAAGCCUUUGAAACUGGGGAACUUGAGUGCAGGAGAGGAGAGUGGAAUUCCUAGUGUAGCGGUGAAAUGCGUAGAUAUUAGGAGGAACACCAGUUGCGAAGGCGGCUCUCUGGACUGUAACUGACACUGAGGCACGAAAGCGUGGGGAGCAAACAGG